Molecule: ribosomal RNA, 255 nt
Filed under: uncultured bacterium
Lineage: Bacteria
Description: partial small subunit ribosomal RNA
Rfam family: Bacterial small subunit ribosomal RNA
Source: RNAcentral
AGGACGAACGCUGGCGGCGUGCUUAACACAUGCAAGUCGAGCGGAAAGGCCCUUCGGGGUACUCGAGCGGCGAACGGGUGAGUAACACGUGAGUAAUCCGCCUUCAGCUUCUGGGAUAGCUCCGGGAAACCGGGAUUAAUACCGGAUAUGACCACUUCGGACAUCUGUUGUGGUGGAAAGUUUUUCGGCUGGAGAUGAGCUCGCGGCCUAUCAGCUUGUUGGUGGGGUAAAGGCCUACCAAGGCGACGACGGGUA